This 231-nucleotide long non-coding RNA is filed under the name Bos taurus (domestic cattle). Its description in RNAcentral is "long non-coding RNA NONBTAT022126". Lineage: Eukaryota; Metazoa; Chordata; Mammalia; Artiodactyla; Bovidae. The record is from RNAcentral.
CUCAGAAAUAAUUUCAUAAGUCAGAAAUAAUUGAGCAUAAUUCCAGGUUAGUGUUGUCAGAAAACAACAGCUGAUGUAUUGAGUAACUGCUGUGUAUAUAGCACUGUCUUAAUUAUGCUUAAAGGUGAAUGAAAAAUGAGUAAGAGUUAAUACUCCCAGUCAAGAGCUCAGCUACCUAAUGGAGAUUGAACUAUAAAAAUCCAAAUAGGUGUGGGUGAAUAUGUGUGUGAU